GUUUUUUGGUACCCUAUCACGAGAAUGGGCUUUGGAGUGCAUGAAGGAUCUGUUGCUGGUGAAUCUAAGAGGCAACCUUCAGAUAAUUGUGCAGACUGCCAAGGAGUAUUGUGAGCAGUUGGGUAUUGAUGCGUGCAUAAAACUUUUUGAGCAAUUCAAGUCCUAUGAAGGGCUGUACUUUUUCCUUGGGUCGUAUUUGAGUUCCAGUGAGGAUCCUGAUAUACACUUCAAGUA
RNAcentral lists this unclassified non-coding RNA (234 nucleotides) under Hevea brasiliensis (rubber tree). Lineage: Eukaryota; Viridiplantae; Streptophyta; Magnoliopsida; Malpighiales; Euphorbiaceae. The record is from RNAcentral.